Molecule: transfer RNA, 66 nt
Filed under: Rasbora tornieri
Lineage: Eukaryota; Metazoa; Chordata; Actinopteri; Cypriniformes; Danionidae
Description: tRNA-Cys
Source: RNAcentral
GGCCUUGUGGUGUAUUACAUAUUAGAUUGCAAACCUAAAGUUGUAGAUAGGAGUCUGCCGGGGCUU